RNAcentral lists this long non-coding RNA (1300 nucleotides) under Marmota monax (woodchuck). The record is from RNAcentral. Lineage: Eukaryota; Metazoa; Chordata; Mammalia; Rodentia; Sciuridae.
UUUCAGUUACAAUAACAUAAAGCAAAUUUAGAUAGAAAUGUUUACAUAAGUGCUGUCAAACUUCAAAUUAAAUGUCAUUUUAAAAGUGUCAUUAAAUAAAAUAUAGUUUACAGUUACCAUUAAUAACUAUUUAAGAAGUAAAAUUAGCUCAUGUGACAGUAUUCAAGCAAGGUUAUUUAUUAAAGAAUACAGAACAAACCACACUACAAACUAGACAAGAUUAGAUUUCAUAGCUCCUAUUUUCUAAGGCUUAACCCCCAAAUUUUAGGUUAUCUGACAGGAUGCUGUUUCAGAUAGAGAGAUACAAACUCUUCAUGCUGUAUGUUUUUCUCAACAAACUAUAUACUUGUCUGGCAGCACAGUACAAAUGACAUUAAUUUCCCAAACUUCCAAGGAAUAUAGAAAGACAAGAAAGAAAAAAACUAUGGGUCAUUCACUGAUUCUAGUCAUGUGAAUUACUUUUAAUUUGCAAAACUGGAUUAUUGCUUUGGCCUCUUACGUAGGUUUCUAAAUCAGUCUUCUUACAUUAACAAUGAGUAAUUUGUUGUUCCUCAAAGUAAUGAAAGACUUCAGUGUAUUGCUUAUAACUUGCUUAUCAAGAAAUUGUCCAAGUCACUCAGAAAAGUUAAAAAGUUGACCAACAGUUCAUGACAUACAUAGCCACUGAAAUGAAAAUAGGACAAUUUUUCCCUUUCAUACUUGGAUUUGUAUCUGGUCUCUAUCUCCCUAUGCUUGCCAUGCAUACAACUCUAUAGAUUAAAUUAUUCUGUGAACAAAAAUAUGGGUGAGGAUAUAGGCCAAUGUUAGGACGAAGAGCACUUCUAAACUGUAAUGCCAUAUAACCCUAUUGAACUGGCCCUACAUUUUGUGAAAAAAAAAAAAAUUUACACAUGACAAUAAAAUUAGAUGAUUUCUUAUCUGAAGUGAAAAUCAACCCAGAUAAAUUAUGACUGUAAAGGCUUUUAUUUUUAAACAGCUACUCAGCAAUUAAUGGAGUUAUAGUUAUUGCAGAGAGAAUAGUACAUAAUCUGAACUUUGCAUAUGGCAAAAUAAUUUGGAAAUAUUUUACCCACUUUUACUAGGCCAUAAAUACCAUAGCAUCUGAUUUUUGAUAAGUGAGCCAGCUUUUUAGAAAGGUUAUCAGUGCUCAAAAAGAUGUGGUAGAGAUUUGAACUACUGUAAUUUGCUUAUCAGUGCUGGGAUCAAAUGCAGCACCUUCCAUAGGUCAGUGCUCUACCAUGGGCUACAGUCCCAGUCCUCAUAAUGUUUUAAAUGUGAAUGCUUUGAAUAUUGUGAACCU